CACUGCAGUGACAGUGCCAGGUCCUUAACCUGCUGAGCUACCCAGGAACUCUUCUUUCCCACUGGUGUUGAAUUGCGCUACAGUGUCUGCUGAGUGUCGGGUGUACAGCAGCGGGAAUCUGUUCCACGUGUACCCAGAGCCGUUCUUUUCCCCCCGCACAGGUUGUCACAGAACUUGGAGCAGACCUCGCUGUGCUGCAUGCUCGGUUCUUAAACAGAAUUAGCGAGGUUGUAUAGUAGCGUGUAUGUGUUACUCCCGCCCUCCCAGUUUAGCCCUCCCCCCAUAACUCCCCUUUGGGAACCAUAAAUGUGACUUUGAAGUCUGAGAAUCUGUUUGCUUUUAUAGAUGGGUUCUUUGGUAUCGUUUUUAUUAGAUUCCACACGUCAGUGACAUCAUAGGUAUCUGUUUUUCUCUUUCUGACUUUGCUUAGUGUUAUCACCUCUGGUUCCGUCCACAUCAUUGCAGAUGGCAUUGUUUUGUUCUUUCUUAUGGCCGAUACCGUGUGUGUGUGUGUGUGCGUGUGUGUGCGCGCUCCAUCUUCUUUAUCCGUCCCUUUGUCGGGGGACAUGUAGGUGGCUUCCAUGUCUUGGCUGUUGUAAAUAGUGCUGCAGUGAACCCUGGGGCGCAUGUAUCUUACGGUUUUCUCUGGAUGUAUGCCCAGGAGUGGGAUUGCUGGGUCAUGCGGUAGAUCUGUAUUUCAAUUUCAUGGUUUUCAAGGAAACGCCAUGCUGUUUUUCAUGGUGGUUGCACCAGUUGUACAUGCCCACCCAUGGUGCAGGAGGGUCCUGUUUUCUCCAGCAUUUAUUGUUUGUAGACUUUCUGAUGGUGGCCAUUCUGACUGAGGUGGGGUGAUGUCUCAUUGUGGUUUGACGUGCAUUUUCUCUAAUUAGUGAUGUUGAGCAUCUUUUCGAGUGCUUUUUGGCCAUCUGUCUGUCUUUGGAGAAAUGUCUAUUUAGAUCUUCAGACCACUUUUUCAAUGGGUUGUUUGGUUUUUUGAUCUAAAGCUGUGUGAGGAGUUCCCGUCGUGGCUCAGUGGUUAACGAAUCCGACUAGGCACCAUGAGGUUGCGGGUUUGAUCCCUGGCCUCGCUCAGUGGGUUAAGGAUCUAAUGUUUCCGUGAGCUGUGGUGUAGGUCGCAGACACAGCUCAGGUCCCAUGUUGCUGUGGCUCUGGCGAAGGCUGGCAGCUACAGCUCCGAUUAGACCCCUAACCUGGGAACCUCCAUAUGCUGCGGGAGUGGCCCAAGAAAUGGCAAAAAAAAUAAAAAUAAAAAUAAAAAAUAAAGCUGUGUGAGUCGUUAUAUAUUUUGGAGAUCCCUUGUUGGUUGCUUUGUUUGCAAAGAUUUUCUUCCAUUUUGUGGGUUGUCUUUUUGUUUUUGUUUUUUAUGGUCAACUAACCUGACAAAGGAGAUAAGAAUAUACAAUAGAAAAAAGCCUCUUCAAUAAGUGGUGCUGGGAAAACUGGACAGCCACAUGCAAAAGAAUGUAGUUAGAAUAUUCUCUCACACCAUACACAAAAAUAAACUCAAAAUGGACUAGAGCCUUAAAUCAAGGUGGGAUACUAUAAAACCCCAAAGGAAAACAUAGGCAGACCACUCUGAUAUAAAUCAGAGCAAUAUCUUUUUUGAUCCACCUCCUAGAGUAAUGAAAAUAAAAACUAAAAUGAGCAAAUGAGACCCAAUUAAACCUAAAAAGCUUCUGCACAGUAAAGGAAACCAUGAAAAAAAA
Molecule: long non-coding RNA, 1727 nt
Filed under: Sus scrofa (pig)
Lineage: Eukaryota; Metazoa; Chordata; Mammalia; Artiodactyla; Suidae
Description: lncRNA (ENSSSCG00045038311.1)
Source: RNAcentral